GAUGAACGCUGGCGGCGUGCUUAACACAUGCAAGUCGAACGGAAAGGCCCUGCUUGCAGGGUGCUCGAGUGGCGAACGGGUGAGUAACACGUGGGUGAUCUGCCCCUUACUUUGGGAUAAGCCUGGGAAACUGGGUCUAAUACUGGAUAGGACCAUGCUGUAGGCGGUGUGGUGGAAAGAUUAGUUUCGGUAAGGGAUGAGCUCGGGGCCUAUCAGCUUGUUGGUGGGGUAAUGGCCUACCAAGGCGUCGACGGGUAGCCGGCCUGAGAGGGUGGACGGCCACAUUGGGACUGCGAUACGGCCCAGACUCCUGCGAGAGGCAGCAGUGGGGGAAAUUGCACAAUGGGCGCAAGCCUGAUGCAGCGACGCCGCGUGGGGGGUGACGGCCUUCGGGUUGUAAACUCCUUUCGGCCAUGACGAAGCCCUUGUGGUGACGGUAGUGGUAGAAGAAGCACCGGCUAACUACGUG
This 469-nucleotide ribosomal RNA is filed under the name uncultured bacterium. RNAcentral describes it as "partial 16S ribosomal RNA". It matches the Rfam family "Bacterial small subunit ribosomal RNA", at positions 28 to 507 of the family's 1533-position model. The record is from RNAcentral.